Long non-coding RNA from Xenia sp. Carnegie-2017, 1016 nucleotides. RefSeq lists it as uncharacterized. The transcript is spliced from 2 exons. NCBI's taxonomy places the organism in Eukaryota, Metazoa, Cnidaria, Anthozoa, Malacalcyonacea, Xeniidae. The record is from RefSeq and is a predicted model, not a curated record.
AAAAUUGGGAAGAAUUUUAUUAAUGAAUGUAAAUUUGUAAAUGGGAAAACGUCAAUUGCUAAAUCAUGACGUUAAAGGACAAAUGUCAUAAAUUACAUAAAUUUUAUUUUCACCAUGGGAGGACACGAGAACACGCAAAAUCUUAAAGACGAUACUACACAGGUUUUUGAUUUUCGUCCAGUACAAUGUUCCGUGUAAAACGUUUGUUACUAACAGAAUUCCGGACAUGAAGUGUUGCUUUCGACUGUCGUUGUGGAUAUAGUCAGACGUGACAAAUGAAACAUUAAAGAAAAAGCUACGCAGCUAGUUUGAGUAGUGGAUGAGGCUGUGUAUGAAAGAAAAUGUGGACGUGGAGUGAAGUUAAAAGGGCUUUAUAAUCGUUAAUAAUGGUCAGGAGGAAUUAGGAAGACUUUGAGAAAAGAAAGCAAAUGGGGAAUGAAAGAUCUUAGACAACGUUGAGAACUAUAAUUCUUAGAAAACACUUUGUUUCUGCUUGUGGAUAAGCAGAUUUGUUACCAAGUUACGCCAAUGUGAUGAAACAUGGUAGAGACAAAGAAGUACAAACGAUAUGAAGGAGGAAGUUGAGAAGGACGUAGAAAAGUUUGGCUACAUAUAUGCGAAUUUUAUUUUCACGAAGUGAGGACACGAGAACACGCAAAAUCUUAUAGACGAUUCUACACGUGUUUGGAUUUUCGUUAAGUACAAUGUACAGUAUGAAAGGUUUGUUAGUAACAGAAUUCGGGAAAGAAGUGUUGCUUUCGACUGUUAUGGUGAGACGUGUCAAAGCAACCAAUUAAAAGAAAAGCUACGCAGCUGGUUUGAGUAGUCGAUGAGGCUAUGUAUGAAACAAAAUGUGAACGUGGAAUGAAGUUAAAAGGAAUCAAUAACAGUUAAUAAUGGUCGGCAGUAAUUAUAAAGACUUUGAGAAAAGAAAGCAUAUAAUGAUGAUGAUGAUGAAACUUUAUUAAAAGAGGGUAACACGUGACACAACAAGUGUGAAAAACUUGUGGCCCUCA